Molecule: ribosomal RNA, 308 nt
Filed under: uncultured bacterium
Lineage: Bacteria
Description: partial 16S ribosomal RNA
Rfam family: Bacterial small subunit ribosomal RNA
Source: RNAcentral
GAGACAGCAGUCGCCGCGGGAAUACGUAUGUCGCGAGCGUUAUCCGGAAUUAUUGGGCAUAAAGGGCAUCUAGGCGGCACGACAAGUCGGGGGUGAAAACUUGCGGCUCAACUGCAAGCUUGCCUUUGAAACUGUAGUGCUAGAGUAUUGGAAAGGUGGGCGGAACUACACGAGUAGAGGUGAAAUCCGUAGAUAUGUGUAGGAAUGCCGAUGAUGAAGAUAGCUCACUGGACGAUAACUGACGCUGAAGUGCGAAAGCUAGGGGAGCGAACAGGAUUAGAUACCCCUGUAGUCCCUGUCUCUUAUAC